RNAcentral lists this long non-coding RNA (615 nucleotides) under Homo sapiens (human). RNAcentral describes it as "non-protein coding lnc-CDHR4-4:2". Lineage: Eukaryota; Metazoa; Chordata; Mammalia; Primates; Hominidae. The record is from RNAcentral.
CUCCACAGUGGGCCCGGCAUGAGUUUGAAGAACUCUUCCGACUGUCUGCAGAGACCAUCAACCACCACCAACAGGCACACACUUCCCUGGCAGACAUGGAUGAGCCACAGACACUCACCUUACUGAAGCCAGUGCUUGGGGUCCUGAGAGUGCGUCCACAGAACUGGCAAGACUGUGUGGCGUGGGCUCUUGGCCACUGGAAACUCUGCUUUCAUUAUGGCAUCAAACAGCUGCUGAGGCACUUCCCACCUAAUAAAGUGUGUGGCUAGGGGUUGGGACGCUGGGGGCUCAGGGGGACCAGACUGAGCCCAGCAGCUUCUACUUACCUACCUAGGUGCUUGAGGAUGGAACUCCCUUCUGGUCAGGUCCCAAACAGUGUCCCCAGCCCUUGGAGUUUGACACCAACCAAGUGAGUGGGAUUCUGUAGGGAGCUCCAAGAUAGAGAUGUGGCCCCUCAGAGCAGAGGUAGGCAUUUCUGCAUUCUGCAGAGAUGCACAGAUGCCCAGAGAGAGCCAUGCUUGUGCAUAUAUGGGUGUCUACAUGUGAGGCAAAGGCAGGCACUCAAACAGAUCCACAAAUGGACAGUGACCCCCACCCCAUGCACCCAUGCCUCUG